UUUAUCGGAGAGUUUGAUCCUGGCUCAGGACGAACGCUGGCGGCGUGCCUAAUACAUGCAAGUCGAGCGGACAGAUGGGAGCUUGCUCCCUGAUGUUAGCGGCGGACGGGUGAGUAACACGUGGGUAACCUGCCUGUAAGACUGGGAUAACUCCGGGAAACCGGGGCUAAUACCGGAUGCUUGUUUGAACCGCAUGGUUCAAACAUAAAAGGUGGCUUCGGCUACCACUUACAGAUGGACCCGCGGCGCAUUAGCUAGUUGGUGAGGUAAUGGCUCACCAAGGCAACGAUGCG
RNAcentral lists this ribosomal RNA (293 nucleotides) under Bacillus atrophaeus. RNAcentral describes it as "partial 16S ribosomal RNA". It matches the Rfam family "Bacterial small subunit ribosomal RNA", at positions 1 to 283 of the family's 1533-position model. The record is from RNAcentral. Lineage: Bacteria; Bacillati; Bacillota; Bacilli; Caryophanales; Bacillaceae.